This 336-nucleotide unclassified non-coding RNA is filed under the name soil metagenome. RNAcentral's name for it is "partial contains 5.8S ribosomal RNA, internal transcribed spacer 2, and large subunit ribosomal RNA". The stretch from base 1 to 120 matches the Rfam family "5.8S ribosomal RNA", at positions 35 to 154 of the family's 154-position model. The record is from RNAcentral.
GAUGAAGAACGUAGCGAAAUGCGAUAAGUAAUGUGAAUUGCAGAAUUCAGUGAAUCAUCGAAUCUUUGAACGCACAUUGCGCCCCUUGGUAUUCCGAGGGGCAUGCCUGUUCGAGCGUCAUUACACCACUCAAGCUAUGCUUGGUAUUGGGUGUCGUCCUUAGUUGGGCGCGCCUUAAAGACCUCGGCGAGGCCUCCCCGGCUUUAGGCGUAGUAGAAUUUAUUCGAACGUCUGUCAAAGGAGAGGAACUCUGCCGACUGAAACCUUUGUUUUUACAGGUUGACCUCGGAUCAGGUAGGGAUACCCGCUGAACUUAAGCAUAUCAAUAGCGGAGGA